This 320-nucleotide ribosomal RNA is filed under the name uncultured bacterium. Its description in RNAcentral is "bacterial SSU rRNA". It matches the Rfam family "Bacterial small subunit ribosomal RNA", at positions 547 to 869 of the family's 1533-position model. The record is from RNAcentral.
GGAUUUAUUGGGUUUAAAGGGUGCGUAGGCGGCCUGUUAAGUCAGAGGUGAAAGACGGUAGCUCAACUAUCGCAGUGCCUUUGAUACUGAUGGGCUUGAAUGGACUAGAGGUAGGCGGAAUGAGACAAGUAGCGGUGAAAUGCAUAGAUAUGUCUCAGAACACCGAUUGCGAAGGCAGCUUACUAUGGUUUUAUUGACGCUGAGGCACGAAAGCGUGGGGAUCAAACAGGAUUAGAUACCCUGGUAGUCCACGCCCUAAACGAUGAACACUCGCUGUUGGCGAUACACAGUCAGCGGCUAAGCGAAAGCGUUAAGUGUCC